Molecule: RNA transcript, 3792 nt
Organism: Aegilops tauschii subsp. strangulata
Lineage: Eukaryota; Viridiplantae; Streptophyta; Magnoliopsida; Poales; Poaceae
Source: RefSeq, a predicted model, not a curated record
UCCGCUCACAAGCGCGAGUACUCAUUUGCUCGGCCGCCGCUGGUGCGAACAGAGAGCCCCGCCCCCCUUCGUCAGAUUUCGAGCGCAAACCGCAAACCCUCCCACCUUCCCCUCCUCCUCGUCGGCGUCGCCCGCUUCCCUUCGCCGGAGGCUCGCGUCCCGGCCCGCCCCCCGCCGCCUCCGCCGUCGAUUAGAUAAUACCAAGCUUGUCCUCGCUGUGCCUGUUAUGAUGGUCAUCUGUAUUCCGUGGCUGACCAGUUAAUUUAUUUAGUGUACUGCUCUUUAAGUAGUAUAUCUCAGCUCCUGAACGUAUUUUGUACCUUGAAGUUGGUUAUUCUGGACACUACAAUUAACUGAAGGCAGUAUUGCAAUAAGGUGCACCAUCCCUAUUGUGUAUUAUGAGAAAAAGAAUGGAGAGAAAGAAACAGUCUUUCUUGUUACUGGGACUUUCUGCAUGAGAGUGGUUAGGAGUUUGGAUAUUGAUUAUUUAUACUUGUUAUCAUGGACUGCAACAAAGAGGAAGCUAUUAGAGCAAAAGCUCUGGCUGAAAGAAAAUUGCUGGAGAAGGAUUUUGUUGGUGCAAAAAAAUUGAUCAUCAAAGCACAACAACUUUUCUCAGAGAUUGACAAUAUUUCACAAAUGUUAACUGUCUGUGACGUUCAUUGUGCUGCUGGAACGAAGGUUAAUGGAGAGCUUGACUGGUAUGGGAUACUUCAGGUACCUGCUUUCACGAAUGAUGACACACUAAUAAAGAAGCAAUACCGUAAGCUUGCGCUUUUGCUGCAUCCCGACAAGAACAAGUUUGCAGGUGCAGAGGCAGCAUUUAAAUUAGUGGGAGAAGCAAACAUGACGCUUACAGACAGCUCAAAACGUUCUGCCUAUGACAUGAAAAGGAGAGUCUCAGUCAGAGUUGGUGCAGCAAGACCAUCCCCUUAUCAGCAGUCAAGGAGAGCUGCUCCUGUUAGACCUGUGAAUCUUCAUCAGCCCUCAAAUUCUGCAGGGACACCACAAACAUUCUGGACCAUGUGUUCAAGUUGUGGCAUGAGAUAUCAGUACUACACUGCAAUGUUGAAGAAAGCUAUCCGUUGUCAGAGUUGUUUGAAGCCUUUUAUUGCACAUGAUAUAAAUGAGCAAGCUGUUCCUUCUGGGGCAGAUCGACAGUAUGCUGGGGUAAAAAAUGCAGGGGCACCACAGAAUUUUGCAGGCCGGCAGACAAAUGCCCCAGGUCAACAGGCUUGGAAUAAUGCCACUCCAGGGGUUCAUGCUAAUUAUGGAUCUCAUAAGGCAGCUGCAAAUACAAACAAAAAGAAGGGGGAAGGUGGUAAUAGCGCUAGUGCUGCAGGUGUACCAAAUGAGAAAGCAAAAUUUGCUCGGACUUCAAAAGGUUCAUCAGCUGCAGGAUUGAAAAGGGGCAGGAGAGCCGUGUCUGAAUCUAGUGAUUCGGAGACCACCACUGAUAGUGAAGAAGAGAUCACUGUAGAUGGUGCUGCUGCAAAUAAUGCAAAGCCGAGUCAACACAGCCGCAGGUCAAGUAGGCAGAAGCAAGAAGUUAAGUAUAAGGAAGAGAGUGAAGAUGAAGAUAUUGGUGAUGAUGGUAAUGAUGACGACGAUAAUAAUGUCAGUUCUUCCAAUUUCAAAAGGUUAAGGAAAGGUGGUGUGUUGCAUGGUGAUGAUCAAAGCAGCACAUCAAAGUUUGAUAUGAAGACAAAACUGGGCAUAAUGGUCACACAAAUGGUCUUAAUCACGAGAAAGAAGAAACAUCCAAUUCUGUCAGCAGCAAUGGUCUAGACCCAAACCUUGAUGAUGCUUCAGAUGAGGAAAAAUUUAGCUGCGCAGAUCCUGAAUUUUUUAACUUCGACGAACUUCGAGAUGUAAGUCAGUUUAGACCCAACCAGAUCUGGGCAGUCUAUGAUAGUCAUGGCUGCAUGCCAAGAUUUUAUGCUCGAAUUACAAAGGUAAAAAUGGCCCCAAAGUUUAUAGUACACUUUGUUUGGCUGGAAUUGGAUCCCACAAAUGAAGCAGAGCUGGCAUGGUCACGUGCAGAACUGCCUGUUGCUUGUGGACAUUUUAAGCAUGGAACAUCAGACACAGCUAAAGAAGCUAAUAUGUUCUCCCAAACUAUUUCCUGUGCGAAAAGCAAGACAAAAAACUCGUAUGAGAUAUAUCCUAGGAAAGAUGAAGUUUGGGCCCUGCACAAGGGAUGGGACAUCGGCUGGAGUUCGGAUGCUGACAGCCACACAGAUUUUGAGUAUGAACUUGUUCAAGUUGUCACGGAUUUCACAACCAGCACUAGCAUCAUUGUCGUGCCACUUGUAAAAAUAAAAGGCUUUGUUAGCUUAUUUAUGCAGUCGAAAGAGGCAACUCCAUGUGUGAUACCUCAGGAUAACACACUAAGAUUUUCUCAUUGCGUCCCUCAUCAUUUCAUGCGUGGGACUGAAAGAGAAGGCAUUCCAGAAGGAGCUAUUGAACUUGAUCCUGCAGCGCUUCCCCUUAACUUGGAAGAGGCUUUUGCUUCUGUUGUUCUGGAAAGCACAGUAAAAGGCAAGGGGGUUGAUACCAAGUAUGCUGGUUCAUCCAGUGGAAUUAAUUCUGGCAAGGGGUCUGAGAAGGUCGGGGAGGUGCCACAUGCUACAUGUAUGAAUACAGGGCUCUUUACAAGAGCAACAAAGGAAGAGAACAAAGAGCAUCAUACUCCAUCUACUGUAGAAGGUGUGGAUGUUAAUGAGGAAUCUGAUGGCAUUGUCCAGGAUGAAUUUGAAUGUCCUGACUCAGAAUUCUAUGAAUUUACAGAAAUAAGGUCGAUUCAGAAGUUCGAACCUGGGCAGAUCUGGGCUCUCUAUAGUGAUAUGGACAAGUUCCCCAAUUACUAUGCCAUCAUAAAGAAAGUCGAUCUCAAGAAUAAUAAAGUACAAGUGAAAUGGCUUGAUCUCUGUCCUCGGGGAGAGGAGGAGAAAAGAUUGACUGGUAAAGAAGAUCGGACUCUUGCGUGUGGAAUCUUUAAGGUUUCCUCUGGCAAUGAUGGUACUACGACUUACACUGGUACAGAGUCAUUUUCUCAUCCUGUGGUUGCUAGAUCAACUGGUAGAAAAAAUGAAUAUGAAAUAAUCCCUCGCUUCCGUGACAUCUGGGCCGUUUACAAGAACUGGAGGGCUGGAUGGACUGCAGAAGACUUUAAAAACUGUGAGUAUGAAUUUGUGGAGAUUGUUGGCCAGACUGAUUCGUCCAUACAAGUUCAGCCUUUAGGAAAGGUGGAUGGCUACAGGGCAGUAUUUCGAAGAGGGGCAGAUGUGAAAACAAUAAGCAAGGAUGAGUACCCAAAGUUCGCUCACCACGUCCCUUGCUUCCAUCUGACAAAUGAAAAAGCAGGCAAGCUUCGAGGCUGUUUCGAGCUCGAUCCUUAUUCAGUGCCAGAGGUGUUUCUCUACACCAGUUAAAUGUGGGAUGGCCUUAUUUGCGGUGCAUCUUUAGGAGCUGAAGUUGUGAGAACCAAGGUUCUAUCCAAGUUGGGCAGUCCACGUCUCUAACAUUGUUGCAUUGGGCUUUUUGGCUGUUUCGAAUACAUCCAUGAAGGUUUGAACUUGUCAGGCGAAUGGGGGUCUUUUGCAUCCAUCAGCGACGGUUUGCAAGCGGAUCAAUCUUCCUGCAGCAGCUUUCUAUAGCGAGUUAGCAGCUUAGUAGCAUUUUGCUGUGUCUAGUCCCUAGUGUCACCCCUCAUUUCCUGCUCGUGUACUCGAAAAUGUUGGAACCAUGUAAUUUAACCCUGCUAGGCUAAUUUGAUGGGAUCUUGGUAUC